Molecule: ribosomal RNA, 431 nt
Filed under: uncultured bacterium
Lineage: Bacteria
Description: partial 16S ribosomal RNA
Rfam family: Bacterial small subunit ribosomal RNA
Source: RNAcentral
CCUACGGGUUGCUGCAGUUAGGAAUCUUGGACAAUGGGCGCAAGCCUGAUCCAGCCAUGCCGCGUGAGUGAUGAAGGCCUUAGGGUUGUAAAGCUCUUUCAGCGGGGAAGCGGUACCCGCAGAAGAAGCCCCGGCUAACUUCGUGCCAGCAGCCGCGGUAAUACGAAGGGGGCUAGCGUUGCUCGGAAUCACUGGGCGUAAAGCGCACGUAGGCGGAUUUUUAAGUCAGGGGUGAAAUCCUGGAGCUCAACUCCAGAACUGCCUUUGAUACUGGGAAUCUCGAGUCCGGGAGAGGUGAGUGGAACUCCGAGUGUAGAGGUGAAAUUCGUAGAUAUUCGGAAGAACACCAGUGGCGAAGGCGGCUCACUGGCCCGGACUGACGCUGAGGUGCGAAAGCGUGGGGAGCAAACAGGAUUAAUACCCCUGUAGUC